UGAAAGAAUACCAGGGCAAGGGCUGCCCCGAAAGGAAAACUUCAGAGGGAUGUUACCAACCUGAAACUAGGCGAUGAAGGCAGGAACAAAUGGAAGAGGAAUUUUUUAUUUGGAUGACACAACACAAACACGCCAUGGUAAUCCUGUCAUUCCUGAUGUGUUCCUGUACUACACUUACAAACAAUGCAGAGCAUUGAAACGCAACGUACUGACAGUCAGGCAGGAGAGCAGAACUGCAGACCCAACACUGGAAUUAUAACGUGCAGGUGAGAAUCUAAAACUGCAUACAAAGCCAUUUCUGAAAAUUGGAAAGGAGGGAACAAAGAUGAACUGUGAAAACAUGAAGAAAAUCUUUUGUGAUCAGUCCUCUGACCCGGUCUGACAGAAAAUUCAGAAAUUUAGAUGCUGAUCAUACUCUCUAGAAAUCCAUGGCAUAGGUGUGCUGCCUCAUUCCCUGCAGAUAGGUGGACAGUGCCCCAGCAGUACCUCCUCCCUCCCUCCAGAAGUCACACUCUCAGCUGCACUGGAAACCCUUCAUGCCAAAGGACAAGGUAGAGGAAAUAAACAUCUCUGCAUUGCCACCCUGCAUCCUGCUCUGCCUUCUGCCAUGACAGCCUCCUCCUAUUAAAGGGCAAAUUAGUUUGGCUAGAAGAAUUAGCACCUCCCAAGCCCUAGAAAGAAAGCCAAGACAUGAGGGCUCACAGAAACUGUGCCACCUGCCUUCUCACACCUUCCCUCACUGAAGGCUAAUUACCUGAGCUUCCUUCAUAUGCAUGUCUCUUUUGCAUUCUUCAACUUUCAGUAAUAAGCAAACUAGAAUAACCAAUAAGUAAAUUAGAAAAAACGAUGGAGAAGAGAUAAUGAGCUCCAAAACUUCCUUUUCCAAGGAGCCAAAACUCCUGGUCUCACCCUUCUGGUAGCAAAGGAUAUUCUUGCUGGAGGAUGUCCUGCCUCAAAUCAGGUGGCUUUUUUGAGGUUUCAUCCCUUGAUUCCCUUCCAAACAGAAUCAAAUUUCAAGGCUACACUAGAAAAUAAACUCUGACAAAUGUCCAUGACUUAAGUUUAGCAAUCCUUCCCCUCCCUACUUUCUCCUGGCAGGGUUUUUACAUAUAGCCAAAAGGAAAAAUCCUGCUUAUCAUCAGCAACAGGGAAGCCAGGAGAUCACAUAUGCCUACCACAGGUAUGUGUUAUUAUUCUACAAGCUUCUUUAUGGAACACCAGUAUAUGUUAUAAUCAACAACUUUCUCCCCUUCACCUUUAAAAACAAACAAACAAAAAAAAAGAGCAAACAACCACAUACUAAACUAGGAAAGUACAACAUGCACAUCAAAGGAAGCAUUUCUUAAAACAUCAGAUAUCCCACUACUGUGAACUCUUUGAAAAACACCCAAAGAAACCUGUCUGCAGGGUAAGCAGCCUUCAGUGAGAGCAGAUGCACUUUUUCCAAAAUCCCCCAUUUGGGGGGAAUUUGAGAAAAGCUUACAUGUUGUCCUCACAUAACAGGAAACGAUCAUAGAAUAAAAUUUUUGCUGUAGCAAAUACAAGAGUGAACAUAAACACCACCACCACUUUCUACUCAGAAAAAGAACAUUCCCACACAGGAGAAGGAGACAGCACAAUAAAUGUGAAUUCACAUAACGACUUGGAUAUGCAAAGAAUUUCAAAAGCACUGAACAAUUUGGAGUAGCCAUGAUGUGCUCAACACGAGCUCAUACAAGACUUGAUCUAAAACCACUAGAAGUCAAUGGGUUCCAGCCCUUUCAGCUCUCAACAUCAGAGUCUACACAGUUAAAAGCCAAUGCAAACCACAGCUAAAUCCUCUCUCUUCCAAUAUUCUAAUACAGACCCAUAGGACCUUUAAAUUUCCUUGGGACCAUCCAGCAGCAGCACCCUUGGUUUCACAACUGGUACGUCAGGACUAGAUUAUUCCAUCAUUAGCAAGUAACACUGGAACACACCAGCUCAGCCAAAGGUCACCAAUUCAAAUCAGGUGAAGGAAGGCUGAGACUAAUUUAAAGAUCCUGGGACUAAUGUGAAGGGUGAUUUUGAGCCAGUGAGCAGGGAAAAAAAAAAACAGUCUCAUGAGGAAGGAAGUAGACAUAUCCAAUUUUACAAAACUUUUGUUGUUACUGUGCCUUAGACAGCUGUUCUAUGAGAAAAUGAAGGACUAUACCUUCCAGUGACUUUGUCCAGCUUCUUCACUUUAAAAAAAAGCAAUACAUUUAAACAGCUAUAUUACUUUCAGUCCCAAAGUAAGGGAGAAAACUCAAGCCUCUCACUUUAAGGCAACACUACUAAAUAAUGCAACUGCAACAAUUAUGAGAAAGUCUCCUGAAAAAUAACUUUUUACUACAGAUUUUUUUUUUUUAUGAAGAACAAGCCCUUUGCUCUGCUUCUUGUUGUUGUGUUUUUUUUUUUUCCUCAAAUGUUUAUUCAGCAGUUGGAGCUGGGAAAACAGGAACCAGAAAAUCUAGUAAAUUGUCUCAACACACAAGUAGGACUGAACUGCAAAAGGAAAACAAAUCAUUUUAUAAAAAUAUUGACAGUAUGUCAAUUAUGCAAACAUAUAUUUACGACAGACUAAGCUUUGUAAAUAAAAGCUAAAUGUAUUACUGUAACUAGCAGAUGGCUCGCUGUGAUUGUAUGACUUCUAUUCUAAAAUAAUAAAAGCAACAUGCAUAUACUGCUGAAAAAAA
Molecule: long non-coding RNA, 2696 nt
Organism: Apus apus (common swift)
Lineage: Eukaryota; Metazoa; Chordata; Aves; Apodiformes; Apodidae
Exons: 3
Source: RefSeq, a predicted model, not a curated record